RNAcentral lists this ribosomal RNA (372 nucleotides) under Bacillus sp. Expt1_P1_C11. RNAcentral's name for it is "bacterial SSU rRNA". It matches the Rfam family "Bacterial small subunit ribosomal RNA", at positions 1019 to 1392 of the family's 1533-position model. The record is from RNAcentral. Lineage: Bacteria; Bacillati; Bacillota; Bacilli; Caryophanales; Bacillaceae.
UUCGGGGGCAGAGUGACAGGUGGUGCAUGGUUGUCGUCAGCUCGUGUCGUGAGAUGUUGGGUUAAGUCCCGCAACGAGCGCAACCCUUGAUCUUAGUUGCCAUCAUUAAGUUGGGCACUCUAAGGUGACUGCCGGUGACAAACCGGAGGAAGGUGGGGAUGACGUCAAAUCAUCAUGCCCCUUAUGACCUGGGCUACACACGUGCUACAAUGGACGGUACAAAGAGUCGCAAGACCGCGAGGUGGAGCUAAUCUCAUAAAACCGUUCUCAGUUCGGAUUGUAGGCUGCAACUCGCCUACAUGAAGCUGGAAUCGCUAGUAAUCGCGGAUCAGCAUGCCGCGGUGAAUACGUUCCCGGGUCUUGUACACACCG